Vicia faba (fava bean) is the source of this 246-nucleotide non-coding RNA. The record is from the annotation of a GenBank genome assembly. NCBI's taxonomy places the organism in Eukaryota, Viridiplantae, Streptophyta, Magnoliopsida, Fabales, Fabaceae.
AUGCGUAGCGGUAAUGUCGAAUUCGUGAUGAGGAGGACGACGCGGAGAUGGCGACGACGAUGGCUGUGCAGUGUCUCCGACGACGAAAAGCUUCACGGCAGUGAUGAUUGGGUUUCUCAGUUCGCCAGAGCAGGGUCGCCAACGGUUGUUGUUACAAACAAAAAGAAGAGUAACAUGAAGCUCAAGUUCUCAACCAUGUUGUUGUUACAAUUGUUUGUUUUGAAUUUUGAUGAAUUUCUUGAAUGA